UCUUUUCAUUUUCAUUUGAUUCCAAGAAUUUUUAUCAAAUGACCCAUUCAUUCUUCAGUAAUGUGUUGUUUUACCUUAAUGUGUUGCAUUGUGAAGGCUGGCCUCAUUCCAUCACUUUUCUUCAUGUUUCCUUGAAAACGCUAGUUCCAGUCCAGUUUUCACCUUGUUCAAUAUCCCAAGGUUCUGAUUCAUCAGUCUCUCCUAGGUGAACGCUGCUUGCUUAUUAUCUGACCCAGCCUAUAAUCCUAUGACACUUGCUCUGAGUUUCCCUGGAGGAUGCUUCACAGGGGUUGUAAAGAAGCACUCUACCACUGUGGUACCUCUCCAUCCCUGCAGUAGGUCCCCCUUGGGUCUCCAUAGUUGUACAUAAGGAGAGAGUUGUGCCUUCAAGCUCUUCAGUACUGCCCUCCUGUCAUCAAACUGGGGACCAAAAUGUGGAUCUGAAAUACAACUGUAUCUGUUUCUAAAUGCUGCAUCUCAUUUUGUUUGAAGCUUGCUUGAUUCCUACAUUGUCCUUUGAGUAUAUACCAUGUACCAGGUGCUGAGAAGUGCUGGGUUACAAAACUUCACUUGAGUGAGAGGUUCAGAGAAUCAGAGCCCAGGUAGGGAGACACUACUUAAUUAUUCUGUAGCCAGAUAGAUAGAGCAGUAUAAUGUGCAAUAUGGAAAGUCUGAGCAGACACAGACGUGUUGGGCAUAUAAUGAUGUGUGUCUUAUCACAAUAUGUAGAUGCACCUACUUUAUUUGCAUAGUAUAAAUGCAUCAUGAAACCUUUUCUCUGUUGGAUACUGUUGGGUAUCUAUGCCUCCUUUUGCCUGUUUCUUUUGUCUUUAUUAUAUGCCAAGGCAUGAUGAGCUUUAAUGUGUUCAUCGAUAGCAAUGCUGGGAUCCAAUUCAUGAAAUAAUCUAGACUGUUUUAGGAAGGGAGUUCUUCUUACCAAAACUAGCAAGAGGGCUGUGGAACUUCAUGAAAAAGUGUCCUUCUGUCUAAUUAGCUGUUUUUCCUCAAAUAGUUCCAUGAUUGUAUUAGUGCAGAUAUUUUUUAGCAGUUGGCUCAGUGAUACUUUGUUUCUAAAUUCCAAAGUAUUUCCUAAGUUUUUGUUUGUUCAUAAUUUUAUUAACAUUUCACCAGGAGGCAGAAUGGGGAUGCAGGAGCUGCUGUUGGUUCUUGGUGUUCGUUUAUCUGGUCAUCCUUGGCUUAGGCAGUGCCUUCCCUGAAGCUUUACUAGGGUGCUUUUCAAUAUGUCUUUCCUCAAUAUGUUUUAUCCCUCGCUCUCUCCAUCCCUAUCCUCCCCUCCCCUCUCUUUCUUAUUCUCCCCCUCCCUACUCCUUCCCAUUUCAUCAUUUCUUAUUGUAAGGCCUCAUACUUGUCAUGUUCCUCCCUCUGCCUCCAGAUGUUCACUGCUGCGAUUUCAGGCUGGGAUCCAGCCCCUCACACAUUUCUUUUCAUCAUGAAACUGUCAGUCACCUCCUGGGAGCACUGACCACCUCCUCUGCCCCAGGAUCCUGGAGUUGGGAAGCAGGGCUAAGAUCUC
This is a long non-coding RNA of Mastomys coucha (southern multimammate mouse), 1534 nucleotides long. RefSeq lists it as uncharacterized. The transcript is spliced from 3 exons. The record is from RefSeq and is a predicted model, not a curated record. NCBI's taxonomy places the organism in Eukaryota, Metazoa, Chordata, Mammalia, Rodentia, Muridae.